ACGUACACUCCUACGGGAGGCAGCAGUGAGGAAUAUUGGACAAUGGGUGGAAGCCUGAUCCAGCCAUCCCGCGUGCAGGAAGACGGCCCUAUGGGUUGUAAACUGCUUUUAUCUGGGGAUAAACCUACUUACGUGUAAGUAGCUGAAGGUACCGGAAGAAUAAGCACCGGCUAACUCCGUGCCAGCAGCCGCGGUAAUACGGAGGGUGCAAGCGUUAUCCGGAUUUAUUGGGUUUAAAGGGUCCGUAGGCGGACUGAUAAGUCAGUGGUGAAAUCCGACAGCUUAACUGUCGAACUGCCAUUGAUACUGUUAGUCUUGAGUAAGGUUGAAGUGGCUGGAAUAAGUAGUGUAGCGGUGAAAUGCAUAGAUAUUACUUAGAACACCAAUUGCGAAGGCAGGUCACUAAGUCCUAACUGACGCUGAUGGACGAAAGCGUGGGGAGCGAACAGGAUUAGAAACCCUAGUAGUCCCAUG
RNAcentral lists this ribosomal RNA (474 nucleotides) under uncultured organism. Its description in RNAcentral is "partial 16S ribosomal RNA". It matches the Rfam family "Bacterial small subunit ribosomal RNA", at positions 329 to 799 of the family's 1533-position model. The record is from RNAcentral.